AUUUUCUUCUUCUUGAACUGCACUGUUGGUUAAGGGCUUGUAAGUAAGCAUUUCAUGGUAAAGUCUACAGUGUUGGUUAAGGGCUUGUAAGUAAACAUUUCACGGUAAAGUCUACAGUGUUGGUUAAGGGCUUGUAAUAAAGCAUUUCAUGGUAAAGUCUACAGUGUUGGUUAAGGGCUUGUAAGUAAGCAUUUCAUGGUAAAGUCUACAGUGUUGGUUAAGGGCUUGUAAGUAAAGCAUUUCAUGGUAAAGUCUACAGUGUUGGUUAAGGGCUUGUAAGUAAAGCAUUUCACGGUAAAGUCUACAGUGUUGGUUAAGGGCUUGUAAGUAAA
Long non-coding RNA from Oncorhynchus tshawytscha (Chinook salmon), 332 nucleotides. NCBI's taxonomy places the organism in Eukaryota, Metazoa, Chordata, Actinopteri, Salmoniformes, Salmonidae. The record is from Ensembl.